Molecule: long non-coding RNA, 2973 nt
Organism: Eriocheir sinensis (Chinese mitten crab)
Lineage: Eukaryota; Metazoa; Arthropoda; Malacostraca; Decapoda; Varunidae
Exons: 3
Source: RefSeq, a predicted model, not a curated record
GAUUUGGUUGCUGAAGACUUUAUUGGAUGACCUUAAAAUGCUCUGACAGUUAAGUAAAAUAAGUAAUAAGUAUUUUUAAAUAGUAUGCGUGUUUUUGUAUGUGCAUAGUCGACACUGACAGUCUGCUGAUCUCAAAUUACCAGAGUAUGUAGUGUUACUGGCCUCCAGGGGCAGAUGCUUCAGCCAAGGCUAAGAGGGAAGAAAUCCCUCAUACAGAAAAACAGAAUUUAUAUGAGAUCAGAAUUUUUUCAUUUGCAGGUAUGAUAAGUGUACAGGACCACCGUGUUGGUGCGCCUCAAGACACUGGAGCAAAACCAGCGGCUGAUGUUAAACCUCCUCCAGUCUGUAGCUUCUGCCACAGGGUCAGGAGGGUGUGGUGCCACCUCCAGUAAGCAGCUUGGAGGAGCUGGAUGACCUGUGCACUAAAGUGGCUGAUCAAACUUUCAAAAGAAACUUGGUAAGAAUAAACUGUAUCAUUUUGAACUUGAGAAGGUUUUUGGAUAUUUUGGAUAUAUCAUAUAUGGAUAUAAGAUUAUUUUUGUGCCGAAGAAACAUUUAUUUUAAGGUAUUUAUGGUGCUUCUAUUAUUCAUUGCAACCACUUUUUGUUAUCUUCAGGAGGGCACAGCCUUGGAGACGCUGUUUGCAGGAUUUUUAAAAAGUUGGGCACCAGUGGUGUGUGGUCAUCAUACAGCCUGAAGGGAAAGAAGGAGGAGCUAGCAUUUACUGAGUUUCCCAUCUGCAAAGUUAUCCUCAGAGCAAGCCUGAGAAACUACGCUGAAGCAAAAACAUCUGCGGUGGAGGAUGAAAUUAGUGAGGCCCUAAAGCAUGGUCCUAAAAGGAAAGGUGGCCCAAAAUACAAGGAACCCGAGCCUAAGAAACGUGAGUGUUUUGUACACGAGUCAUCAGAUUCCAUUGACUUGCCUCAGUUGAAACAAGGGCAGACACCAUGGUGUACAGUGCCCAAGGAGAACCCUACGGUAUGAGACCCUCCUCCUCCCAGCUCCACCUCCACAGCACCAUAUCCCUAUCUUUCCACCAUCUUUUCCCACCUGCUUGAUUUGUUUGCUCCCAUGGAAAUGCAAUUGAUCCUCUUCUUGAUAUUAAUUUUAUUUCUAUAUUUCUUCACUGCUACCAUCUGCUAGAGGCCUACAGGCAAUGCUUUCUUCAUCAUGUACUGUAGUCGGUUUCAUUCCAUCUGUCCACUCCUGAAUGUGGAUGUGGCACCUGCACAUAAAUUGUUAGUUCAUGACAGCGUGAAGAUCAACUUUUUAUUUUCAGUGAUAAAUCUGAAUGUUGGUGGACAGAUGAAAUGAAACACUAUGAUUGACAUUUUAUUUUUUAUUUUUUUGUGUGUGUCUGUGUAGGGAGGGUUGUCGGGGGAGAGAUGCUCUUUUCCAAAAUGUUUUCACUUUAAAUGUGCUUUCCCAAAGGCUAACAUCUGUAUUUUCCCUAAUGAGCUUAUGAAUUAGUGGGUUUUGAUGAAGGAUAUAUGUCUGCAGCAAUAAGGAACAGUAGAUAUAAGAAUAUCAGCCAUCCCUUUCCAAAACUUGACCAACUCAUUUCUCUAACACUGUAAGACAUCCAUAGUUAGGCAAUAAUGGAAGUACUUACAUAAGGCCAGAAUUCUGUGAUGCAUCCAUAGUUUAGAAUGUAAAGAAUACAAAAAAGAUAAAUAAAUAAAUAAAUAAAUAAAGAAAGAAAGAAAGAACAUGCAUGCUUUAAUUUUCUUAUUUUAUUUAUUUAUUUAUUUAUUUUAAAUUUUCUUGUUCUUUACUUUUUAAACUUUGGAUGUGUCACAGAAUUUCAGGCUAAUGUAGAAAAUGGUAAACAAGUGAGUUUGGUCAACAGUUUUGGAAAGAGAUGACUGAUACAGGUAACUCUCGAUUACGCAAGUAUUGUGUCCUUGAUGAGGUCGCGUAAAUCAAACAAGAGGUAGGUUUCUAUCGAAAAAUAAAUAUUCACUUCAUUCAGCGGAGAGAGAUCCAUAUCGCCAAGAUAUCCACUCAGGCACUCAGUCUCAGCCUCACUCGUGUGAGGAAGAAAUGAGGGACACCAUGAGCGACUGGAUAGUAUUGGUAUCGGUACCGAGCAGUCUGGUACCAGUACCGUGCCUUAUAGUUGGUACCAUUAGUACCAGUACCUGCCCACCCCUAAUGUUGAGUAGCGUGGCAGCGUGAGUACCGUAUUGUUGUUCAAGUGGUGCGCGGGAAGAACUGAGCUCAGCUGUGUGGCCACGGCGCCGUGUGAGUUCAGUUGCGUGAGACAUCUGGUGGCCACUCCAUAAAAUAUCGCGAAUAAGUGAAAAAAACAUGUAAAGUAAACAUUUGUUUGGAUUUUGGACCCCACGUUAUUUAAAAAAUGCGUAAACAAAACUUGCGUAAAUCGAGUUACCUGUAUAAAAUUUUUCAACCAUAUAUUUAAUAUUGGCCCUUGGUUUUCAAUUAUGAUAUGCCUUCUUUAAAAUCAGGGUAAAGUGUAACAAUUUAUUCUUAAUGAAUACAAUUCUGCAGGCAGUGUAGGUAAGGCUCCUAUGAUCUGGUGGUGAUGUGGCUGAGGCUGGGCUACAGAUAUUACUGGGAGGUCAGUGGGGCUGACCCUGUACCUUGCCGCUUGUGUGCCAGGCCAGGGGGUCACACGCUCAAACACUAUGUCCUGCAAUGUUCUUCUAUUAGUGCCUAUCGCCCACAGGGCCACUGGGACCUGCCUGGGCUGAUGGGCUGGUUCAUUAACAAUAAUGUUCUUUCAGCUGUGCUUAGUGAGUAUCCUGCAUUUGCCCCUAGAUUGUAAUCCAUAUGUACAGUCCCUUAUGUCUGCUCCCUUGACUAAAUCAAGGCCUUUAUUUUUUUUAGCACUUGUCCCCUACCAUUGUAUCUUUUUAGUUUCCUGGUGCUACUUCCACAUGUAUCCUUAGUUGUAUAAUCACACUCUGUACUGCCUGGGGGUUGGGAUGGCAUGCUCCUCCCUUCUCCUUU